GUGAGGAAUAUUGGGCAAUGGGCGAAAGCCUGACCCAGCCACGCCGCGUGAGUGAUGAAGGCCUUCGGGUUGUAAAGCUCUGUGGGGAGGGAAGAAAAAGCGGGAGAGUAACUGCUCUCGUGUUGACGGUACCUCCUUAGCAAGCACCGGCUAACUCUGUGCCAGCAGCCGCGGUAAUACAGAGGGUGCAAACGUUGCUCGGAAUUACUGGGCGUAAAGCGCGUGUAGGCUGACAUGCAAGUCGGGUGUGAAAUCCCAGGGCUCAACCUUGGAACUGCACUCGAAACUGCACGUCUUGAGUACUGGAGAGGGAAGCGGAAUUCCGGGUGUAGAGGUGAAAUUCGUAGAUAUCCGGAGGAACACCAGUGGCGAAGGCGGCUUCCUGGACAGUAACUGACGCUGAGACGCGAAAGCGUGGGGAGCAAACAGGAUUAGAAACCCGUGUAGUCC
RNAcentral lists this ribosomal RNA (450 nucleotides) under uncultured bacterium. RNAcentral's name for it is "bacterial SSU rRNA". It matches the Rfam family "Bacterial small subunit ribosomal RNA", at positions 354 to 796 of the family's 1533-position model. The record is from RNAcentral.